AUGAUUUUAGGUGCUUGCACUUGAAAGAUUUAACAUUGAGACGAGUGGCGAACUGGUGAGUAACACGUGGGUAACCUGCCCUUGAAGUAGGGGAUAACACUUGGAAACAGGUGCUAAUACCGUAUAACAACCAAAACCACCUGGUUUUGGUUUAAAAGACGGCUUCGGCUGUCACUUUAGGAUGGACCCGCGGCGUAUUAGCUUGUUGGUAAGGUAACGGCCUACCAAGGCGAUGAUACGUAGCCGACCUGAGAGGGUAAUCGGCCACAUUGGGACUGAGACACGGCCCAAACUCCUACGGGAGGCAGCAGUAGGGAAUCUUCCACAAUGGACGAAAGUCUGAUGGAGCAACGCCGCGUGAGUGAUGAAGGGUUUCGGCUCGUAAAACUCUGUUGUUGGAGAAGAACAGGUGUCAGAGUAACUGUUGACAUCUUGACGGUAUCCAACCAGAAAGCCACGGCUAACUACGUGCCAGCAGCCGCGGUAAUACGUAGGUGGCAAGCGUUGUCCGGAUUUAUUGGGCGUAAAGCGAGCGCAGGCGGUUUUUUAGGUCUGAUGUGAAAGCCUUCGGCUUAACCGGAGAAGUGCAUCGGAAACCGGGAGACUUGAGUGCAGAAGAGGACAGUGGAACUCCAUGUGUAGCGGUGAAAUGCGUAGAUAUAUGGAAGAACACCAGUGGCGAAGGCGGCUGUCUGGUCUGUAACUGACGCUGAGGCU
This 717-nucleotide ribosomal RNA is filed under the name Lentilactobacillus buchneri. Its description in RNAcentral is "bacterial SSU rRNA". It matches the Rfam family "Bacterial small subunit ribosomal RNA", at positions 66 to 753 of the family's 1533-position model. The record is from RNAcentral. Lineage: Bacteria; Bacillati; Bacillota; Bacilli; Lactobacillales; Lactobacillaceae.